GCUUCUGUUAGAAGUUAAUGGGAUCCCAAGUUCAAAAUUUAAAUUAGUUUUCUCCUCGUAAAUGAGUCUGGUAGUUCUGUAGUUUGAAUCAAUGCAGUGACCAUUUCCCCUCAUUUAGGUGCCUGUAAUAUGGUCCAGUGGUGUGUGAAACUAGAAGCGGUCUAGACUGUAAAAGCACUCAUUAUGCAGUCAUAUGGUUUUUGGAAGCUUUGAUAGCACAGC
Molecule: unclassified non-coding RNA, 222 nt
Filed under: Hevea brasiliensis (rubber tree)
Lineage: Eukaryota; Viridiplantae; Streptophyta; Magnoliopsida; Malpighiales; Euphorbiaceae
Source: RNAcentral